GCCUAGCCCUAAAUCUUGGUACUUCCCCUACUUAAGUAUCCGCCUGAGAACUACGAGCACAAACGCUUAAAACUCUAAGGACUUGGCGGUGCCCCAAACCCACCUAGAGGAGCCUGUUCUAUAACCGAUAACCCACGAUACACCCAACCACCCCUUGCCAGAGCAGCCUACAUACCGCCGUCGCCAGCCCACCUUCCCUGAGAGCACAACAGUGGGCACAAUAGUCUCACCCCCACUAGUACGACAGGUCAAGGUAUAGCCCAUGGGGUGGAAGAAAUGGGCUACAUUUUCUAACAUAGAAAAUUUACGGAAGGGGGCAUGAAACUACCCCCAGAAGGCGGAUUUAGCAGUAAAGAGAGACAAUGGAGCUCCCUUUAAAUUGGCCCUGAGGC
Molecule: ribosomal RNA, 392 nt
Filed under: Plegadis falcinellus
Lineage: Eukaryota; Metazoa; Chordata; Aves; Pelecaniformes; Threskiornithidae
Description: partial 12S ribosomal RNA
Rfam family: Bacterial small subunit ribosomal RNA
Source: RNAcentral